AUUGAACGCUGGCGGCAGGCUUAACACAUGCCAGUCGAGCGGAUGAAGGGAGCUUGCUCCUGGAUUCAGCGGCGGACGGGUGAGUAAUGCCUAGGAAUCUGCCUGGUAGUGGGGGAUAACGUCCGGAAACGGGCGCUAAUACCGCAUACGUCCUGAGGGAGAAAGUGGGGGAUCUUCGGACCUCACGCUAUCAGAUGAGCCUAGGUCGGAUUAGCUAGUUGGUGGGGUAAAGGCCUACCAAGGCGACGAUCCGUAACUGGUCUGAGAGGAUGAUCAGUCACACUGGAACUGAGACACGGUCCAGACUCCUACGGGAGGCAGCAGUGGGGAAUAUUGGACAAUGGGCGAAAGCCUGAUCCAGCCAUGCCGCGUGUGUGAAGAAGGUCUUCGGAUUGUAAAGCACUUUAAGUUGGGAGGAAGGGCAGUAAGUUAAUACCUUGCUGUUUUGACGUUACCAACAGAAUAAGCACCGGCUAACUUCGUG
RNAcentral lists this ribosomal RNA (484 nucleotides) under uncultured bacterium. Its description in RNAcentral is "partial 16S ribosomal RNA". It matches the Rfam family "Bacterial small subunit ribosomal RNA", at positions 30 to 507 of the family's 1533-position model. The record is from RNAcentral.